AACAGUCAUACUGGUGGCAGGGGCCCAGACCAGUGCCUCUGGAUUGCUGGUUCAGGGGGCAUGACCCUGAGCAUUUGUGGAGAGGGGAGGGUGUGGUCAGCUGUUUCAUUUGGGGGCUCUCCUGACCCUUAGAAGACCGAGAUGUGCCCGACUGCACAGAGGACGAAGUUGAAGUCACUCUUCUAGAAACUGCCUGGUGCAGAUGCCGUGGUGACAGAUAUGAAAGGAUGGGCCUUUG
RNAcentral lists this long non-coding RNA (238 nucleotides) under Mus pahari (shrew mouse). Its description in RNAcentral is "lncRNA (MGP_PahariEiJ_G0006172.1)". The record is from RNAcentral. Lineage: Eukaryota; Metazoa; Chordata; Mammalia; Rodentia; Muridae.